ACAACAGGUGCAGGCAGGCUUUCAGAGCUUUCCAGGUCACUCUCUGCUCCAUGUGGUUGAGAUGUGAGCUCUCAGCUUCCUGGCCCUGUUGUCACCUUGUCGGCUACUUGCUGCCAGGCCUCCCCAACUUGAGACUUGUCCUUCUGCAACUGUGAACCCAAAUAAACUCUUCCAUCUAGAAAUCACAUUUGGUUGCGGAACCAAACGCAAGACUGCUCGUAUGCUGGGAAAGUACUCUGCCACUGAGCUACACCUCCAGGCCUAAAUUUUCCCUAAAGGAAAAAUACAUGGGAAAUUAUGCGUGUUUUCAAAUUUCAGAGGCUCAAGGAGAAAGCAGUCCAGGAGGGAGGUCACAGGAAAGAACAAACAACUACAGACUUUCUAACACAUUUGAAGAAACUUGCCAUAAAAAAAUAACAUUGAAGAAGUUACACAGACCUGGUGGACAGUUCAGAAGUAAUUAGUGAUAGAUGCUCACAUGGCAGGUACAUUUCUCCUGUCCCAGGAGAGAAAGAACAUCUCCAGAUGCCAGCAAGAGCCCGAACCAACAGUCUUGGUAUAGCAUCACUCUCAACAGGCUGGGCCCUCCAGAUCAAUCAUGAAUGAAGAAAUACCUCACAGACUUGCGUACAAGACAAUUUGAUGGAGGCAGUUCCCCAACUGGAUUCCCUCUUCUCAGAUGACUCUAGCUUAAGUCAAGUUGACAAGAACAAAUCAACAAAAAAAGCAGUCAACAACAUCAAAACCUACCCAGGAAACCCCGCCGCGCUGCGUCUAGAGUAAAGGGAAAUCAAUGGAUGUGCCUAAGGAAGGCAUUCAAAGUGUUAUUUUACCUUUGCAAAGCUGUGUUUGUCCCAGUCCAAGCCGUCUGUUCCGAUCUGCACGGGAGUGGGAGG
Molecule: long non-coding RNA, 896 nt
Filed under: Cricetulus griseus (Chinese hamster)
Lineage: Eukaryota; Metazoa; Chordata; Mammalia; Rodentia; Cricetidae
Description: lncRNA (ENSCGRG00015029031.1)
Source: RNAcentral